GUCACGAUAGUGGAUUUUACCUUAUGGAUCUGAAGAUGAGACCUUGCAGUGCUUACCAAAGUCCCUGGCCACAAAUCUGCCCUGACUAUCUUCACCUCUAUGAAGAAAUUAGGAGAUCUGGUGCCCCAAGAAAGGACUCAAGACCAGAAUUUCCCAUGUGUUAAUUGUCUACAGCAGCACCCUCUGGGCCAGUUCAGAGGUCUCAAAAAUCAUGAAGAAUCUGAACAUAGGACAAAGGCCCUCAUAUAUUGUUAACAAGAUGGAAACAAUCACACCUCAGAUGUGAGAAAAAAUCAAGGAUCUCAUUAUGUUCAAAUAAAGGAACAGAAUAAGC
RNAcentral lists this long non-coding RNA (334 nucleotides) under Anser brachyrhynchus (Pink-footed goose). Its description in RNAcentral is "lncRNA (ENSABRG00000014102.1)". Lineage: Eukaryota; Metazoa; Chordata; Aves; Anseriformes; Anatidae. The record is from RNAcentral.